CUUGCCUGAUCCAGUCUGGGCUGGAUUUCCAUGUCACUUGUGAAUGACCAUGCUGUCUCUUAUUCAGCAGAGAAGAUAAAAUCCCAAAAAGCUGGCUAGGCUCUACUGAAGAAAGAAGCUUGGGGUGAUGGAAGUUAUUCUGGAUUAGUGUCUGCCUGUAACAUCUGAACAGGAUGGAAAGGGGUCAAUCGGGAAGCCUCUAACGAGGGCCUGACCAACUGUGGAGGAUGGAGAACCAUUUCCACUGUCUUGAAGUAUGUUUUCAGAAGUGGGAACCAUAUGUGAAUCCCCCACAGGAAGAAGGACGGAUGAGCGUGUUUGCACACUGUCUCCACCAGGGGAAGACUGGUCAUCUCAGCGGUGCUCUUCUGCCAGCUGAUCGAUUCUUCUAUGCCCCUCCAUUUGUCCUUCCCUAAAUGAUUUAGAAAGUCUCAGCCCACCUUUCUUCCAUUCCAUUGCUUUAAACAAGCUGUUUUUCUGUCAGAGACUGUCCUCUGGAUGGAGCCAGAUUGACAGGACUUCUGUCAUUGAAAAAAUAUUGCCGAGUGGACCUUUCUAGGUUGACACAUACCCAACAGCCUUUCUUUCCUGUGGUUUGUGUUAUUAAAGUGAUUUGACAUGCCUCAC
Long non-coding RNA from Peromyscus leucopus (white-footed mouse), 627 nucleotides. RefSeq lists it as uncharacterized. The record is from RefSeq and is a predicted model, not a curated record. Lineage: Eukaryota; Metazoa; Chordata; Mammalia; Rodentia; Cricetidae. The transcript is spliced from 2 exons.